CCUACGGGUGGCAGCAGUGGGGAAUAUUGCACAAUGGGGGAAACCCUGAUGCAGCGACGCCGCGUGAGUGAAGAAGUAAUUCGUUAUGUAAAGCUCUAUCAGCAGGGAAGAAAAUGACGGUACCUGAGUAAGAAGCCCCGGCUAACUACGUGCCAGCAGCCGCGGUAAUACGCAGGGGGCAAGCGUUAUCCGGAUUUACUGGGUGGAAAGGGAGCGUAGACGGCAGUGCAAGUCUGGAGUGAAAGGCGGGGGCUCAACCCCCGGACUGCUCUGGAAACUGUACGGCUGGAGUGCAGGAGAGGUAAGUGGAAGUCCUGGUGUAGCGGUGAAAUGCGUAGAUAUUAGGAGGAACACCAGUGGCGAAGGCGGCUUACUGGACUGUAACUGACGUUGAGGCUCGAAAGCGUGGGGAGCAAACAGGAUUAGAUACCCUGGUAGUC
This 440-nucleotide ribosomal RNA is filed under the name uncultured bacterium. Its description in RNAcentral is "partial 16S ribosomal RNA". It matches the Rfam family "Bacterial small subunit ribosomal RNA", at positions 338 to 795 of the family's 1533-position model. The record is from RNAcentral.